This 505-nucleotide ribosomal RNA is filed under the name uncultured bacterium. RNAcentral describes it as "partial 16S ribosomal RNA". It matches the Rfam family "Bacterial small subunit ribosomal RNA", at positions 28 to 507 of the family's 1533-position model. The record is from RNAcentral.
GACGAACGCUGGCGGCGUGCCUAAUACAUGCAAGUAGAACGCACAGUUUAUACCGUAGCUUGCUACACCAUAGACUGUGAGUUGCGAACGGGUGAGUAACGCGUAGGUAACCUGCCUGGUAGCGGGGGAUAACUAUUGGAAACGAUAGCUAAUACCGCAUAAUAUUGAUUAUUGCAUGAUAAUUGAUUGAAAGAUGCUAUUGCAUCACUACCAGAUGGACCUGCGUUGUAUUAGCUAGUAGGUGAGGUAACGGCUCACCUAGGCGAGGAUACAUAGCCGACCGGAGUGGGUGGUCGGACACGCUGGGACUGAGACACGGCCCAGACUCCUACGGGAGGCAGCAGGAGGGAAUCUUCGGCAAUGGACGAGAGUCUGACCGAGCAACGCCGCGUGAGUGAAGAAGGGUUUCGGAUCGUAAAGCUCUGUUGUAAGAGAAGAACGGGUGUGAGAGUGGAAAGUUCACACUGUGACGGUAUCUUACCAGAAAGGGACGGCUAACUACGUG